RNAcentral lists this ribosomal RNA (465 nucleotides) under Vreelandella stevensii. Its description in RNAcentral is "partial 16S ribosomal RNA". It matches the Rfam family "Bacterial small subunit ribosomal RNA", at positions 338 to 795 of the family's 1533-position model. Lineage: Bacteria; Pseudomonadati; Pseudomonadota; Gammaproteobacteria; Oceanospirillales; Halomonadaceae. The record is from RNAcentral.
CCUACGGGGGGCAGCAGUGGGGAAUAUUGGACAAUGGGGGCAACCCUGAUCCAGCCAUGCCGCGUGUGUGAAGAAGGCCCUCGGGUUGUAAAGCACUUUCAGUGAGGAAGAACGCCUGGUGGUUAAUACCCAUCAGGAAAGACAUCACUCACAGAAGAAGCACCGGCUAACUCCGUGCCAGCAGCCGCGGUAAUACGGAGGGUGCGAGCGUUAAUCGGAAUUACUGGGCGUAAAGCGCGCGUAGGUGGCUUGAUAAGCCGGUUGUGAAAGCCCCGGGCUCAACCUGGGAACGGCAUCCGGAACUGUCAAGCUAGAGUGCAGGAGAGGAAGGUAGAAUUCCCGGUGUAGCGGUGAAAUGUGUAGAGAUCGGGAGGAAUACCAGUGGCGAAGGCGGCCUUCUGGACUGACACUGACACUGAGGUGCGAAAGCGUGGGUAGCAAACAGGAUUAGAUACCCCAGUAGUC